RNAcentral lists this transfer RNA (76 nucleotides) under Gammaproteobacteria bacterium. Its description in RNAcentral is "tRNA-Thr". It matches the Rfam family "tRNA". From Rfam's summary of the family: Transfer RNA (tRNA) molecules are approximately 80 nucleotides in length. Lineage: Bacteria; Pseudomonadati; Pseudomonadota; Gammaproteobacteria. The record is from RNAcentral. RNAcentral also lists the same sequence under 1 other name.
GCCGGAAUAGCUCAGUCGGUAGAGCAACUGAUUCGUAAUCAGUAGGUCGGAGGUUCGACUCCUCUUUCCGGCACCA